RNAcentral lists this ribosomal RNA (243 nucleotides) under Triticum aestivum (bread wheat). RNAcentral's name for it is "partial small subunit ribosomal RNA". Lineage: Eukaryota; Viridiplantae; Streptophyta; Magnoliopsida; Poales; Poaceae. The record is from RNAcentral.
AUGUUAGGCCGUGUGGUCGACGCCUUGGGAGUACCCACUGAGGUAAAAGGGGCUGUAAGCGAUGACGAACGAAGACGUGUCGAAGUGAAACCAGGUAUUAUUGAAUGUAAAUUUGUGCACGAACCCAUGCAAACAGGCUUAAAAGCAGUAGAUAGCCUGGUUCCUACAGGCCGUUGUCAAUGAGAACUUAUAAUCAGGAAAGACAAACUGGAAAAACUACAAUAUCUAUCGAUACUAUAUUAA